AUUAACACGUAUAAGAGGUCCAGCCUGCCCAGUGACUAUAUGUUCAACGGCCGCGGUAUUCUGACCGUGCAAAGGUAGCGUAAUCACUUGUCUUUUAAAUAAAGACUGGUAUGAAUGGCAUCACGAAGGUUCAACUGUCUCCUGCAUCCUAUCCAUAAAACUGACCUCCCCGUGCAGAGGCGGGGAUACAACCAUAAGACGAGAAGACCCUAUGGAGCUUCAAACUAAAGGCAACUGCCAACUAUUAUUUAACCACCAGGGAUUAACAAAUAAACAAGCAUGUAUGACCUAAAGUUUUCGGUUGGGGCGACCACGGAGGAAAAAAAAUCCUCCUUGAUGAAUAGGACAUUUAAUCCUUAACCAAGAAUAACAAUUCUAAGUAACAAAAUUUUAGACUAUAAUUGAUCCAGUCUAACUGAUCAACGAACCAAGUUACCCUAGGGAUAACAGCGCAAUCCAUUUCAAAAGUUCUUAUCGACAAAUGGGUUUACGACCUCGAUGUUGGAUCAGGGCAUCCCAGUGGUGCAGCCGCUACUAAAGGUUCGUUUGUUCAACGAUUAAAGCC
This 565-nucleotide ribosomal RNA is filed under the name Xenopus fischbergi (Fischberg's clawed frog). RNAcentral's name for it is "partial small subunit ribosomal RNA". It matches the Rfam family "Bacterial large subunit ribosomal RNA", at positions 1835 to 2595 of the family's 2925-position model. Lineage: Eukaryota; Metazoa; Chordata; Amphibia; Anura; Pipidae. The record is from RNAcentral.